Molecule: long non-coding RNA, 240 nt
Filed under: Nicotiana benthamiana
Lineage: Eukaryota; Viridiplantae; Streptophyta; Magnoliopsida; Solanales; Solanaceae
Description: long non-coding RNA (NBEN_LNC002805)
Source: RNAcentral
UUAAACAGCAAUUUUAGGAUUCACCCGGGGUUCACUCUAGAGCAAGGCGAUUGAGAAGUCUUCUUAUCUCUUUAACUAACUCCUCUACACAUUAAAAGUCUUCUUAUCUAUCUAAAUUAUGAAGUUUUAGACUACAGAACUCGAACUCUAAGCACAAGCAUCACAUCCUAACAUCGUGCGGAUGAUUUUUAUAUGAACAUUUCUUCAAGAAAAAGAUAGUCAAAUUUCCUGUCUUCACUU